UUGGACCUGAUAUCAGGCAAGAUUACCCGCUGAACUUAAGCAUA
RNAcentral lists this ribosomal RNA (44 nucleotides) under Phytophthora capsici. RNAcentral's name for it is "partial 28S ribosomal RNA". RNAcentral also lists the same sequence under 4 other names. The record is from RNAcentral. Lineage: Eukaryota; Oomycota; Peronosporomycetes; Peronosporales; Peronosporaceae.